CUGUCCCCGACAGGAGGGGGAAAAUGCUCAGUCUGCAAGGGGGGAGGUGGUGUCUGCAAGUAGGUCGCUACCAGACAUUAUUAAUCACAUCAGUAGCCAUUUUCAUCCUUAACAAAGGAUGACUUUGUCAUCAUAGAACCUACUGCCACGUGGUUUAUUCGUCUAAAUCAACUGAUACGCGGCUGGGGUUUCGGUAGAAAGUGUGUCUUCGACUGUCUGCAUGCGACUGCAGUGGGCGCACAACGCCUCCAUUUUGGAUUUUCCUUCCACCAUGGUCGGGGGGUGACAGUGCAUUCCAAUAUCCUCCGUUUGUCGUGUUGCCUUCUCUGCUAAAACAAGUUUAGCCUCCGCCAAGAAAAAGAACAGAAUGGCAGAGGAGGCUGGUGCCAUUGUUGUUCGUAAGGAUGUAAUGGACAGAUUCCACACAAUCAUGGCUGAAACAAAACUUGAAGCUAAUGAGCUGAUGGAGCACUUUUUUGGGCUUUAUCACUGCUGUGUUAAGCUGGUACAACCUUUUCAAAGAGACCAGGCAAAUUCCGGUCUUGGGCCAAACAACAUUAGCAUUAAAAAUGAGCUGCCUGACCCUCAGUGUUCAGAAGAACGAAUGCAGGGAGAUAAUGAGACAGAUGGAGAAAUAGCCUUCAUGGGCUGUAGUGUUGACCAGAACAAGCAGAGUAAACGUCCACGAGAUGGGGACGGCCCAUCGGGUUCUACCAGUACUGGUAGCAAUACUACAGGGAGCUUUUUAUCCUCUCUUACAUCCUUAACCAACCAAGGAACCAUGCCAGACCCAGUCUUGGCAUUCCAAUCACUACUGGCGCUGUACCGUCGAGAUGAUGUCACACCAAAUCGUCGUAAAAAUGCCCCCAAACGGAUCACCCAGACCAACUAUAAUCCUACUCCUUGUGAUACCAAGCCUGAGGAUGUUUUGAAGAAGGUUAUGUGUUCGCUGUGUCAAGCUACUUUUGACCGCUUCACUGACCUUUUGGCUCAUCACAAGAACACACACAAUUCUGACCUCUCACAUCCCUUGAGGUGCCGUGCAUGUGGUCGCACACAGACCUCAGAGGCGGGACUUGUCCAUCAUCAGAUUUAUGUGUGCAAGAUGGUGGAGAGACCAUUCACGUGUGAGGUGUGCACACUCAAGUUCCAGAGUGAAGAGAUGGUGUGGGUUCACAAGUGUAGUGGUGAUGCUCGGAAACGAUUCGCUUGUGAGUUCUGUGACCACUACAAGACAGAAUCAGCCUCUGAUCUGGAAAAACACAUGCGAAUCCAUACAGGAGACAAGUGUUUUAGGUGCGAGACAUGUGGAUUUCAGACAGCCUGGAAAAAGAAUCUGAAGGAACACAUGUUGAAGCAUUCUGGCCUGAAGCCGUACAUUUGUGACUAUUGUGGCUACAGUACAGCUGACAAGCACAACCUUCGUGCUCACCGUCUCAAACAUGGGAAAGAGGAAGGGUUCGACUGUUCUGUCUGUGGGCUUACUUUCAGCUGCUACAGGUCCCUCCGUCUGCACAAAGAUACGCACAACAACACAGAUAAACCCUUCAAAUGCUCAGUUUGUGACUACCGUGCCAAGUACAAGUCAGUGCUGCACCUCCAUGAAGUGCGUCACAACCACAUGAGAAAGUCUGCUUGUGAUGUCUGUGGUCAGUGUUUUGCAUAUCACAAGGAGAUGAUAGACCACCGCAACCAGGCCCAUCCUGAUGUCGAGGUUGGAGAGAAAUCUGCUGCAGGAAGUAACGCAGGGAAUUCAGGCAGUGCCAAUGGUUCUGUUGGUGGUAGUGGUAGUGGUGGGGGGAAUGCUGACAAGACUCUGACAACAUUGGCCGACAUUUCACAAAGCGGGCCAAAUGCAUCCUCGCAUCCCACUCAGACAGUAGCUGCAACUCAGACCAAUACGUUACCCAUGGGUGCAUCAACACCAAACCCUCAGCAGCAGCAACAACAGGUGUCACUUCAGCAGCCACAGCAACAGCAAGGCCCGCACCAUGGACAGGGUCCUGCUUCAACCCCACAGCUUCAAGAUGCUGGAAUGGUGCAUGCACAGCAGCAACAGGGGUGGAAGGGAACCUGCCUAACCAGAGUCGAUUCCCUCACUCAGACCUGUGGGGGCCAGGGUUUGGUGGUUCCCUCCUCGCUAGCAGGUUUUCAGGUGCAGCAAGCUCCAGGCGCCCAGAAUGUCACCAUGCAGUCAUUUGGAGCUGGGGUUUUGUCCCCAUGGGCGGGAGGAAUGGGUGCCAACAUGCAUGACUUUUUUGGGGCCCGCAUGGCACUUGGACAGAAUCCAAACGACUCCUUGCUCAGACAGACAGCAGCUCUGAGUCAGGCAGGAACGCAAACUCUUCCACACCCAUCGACCUUUGUUGCCUGUCCUCUCCCAGUGUUUCCUGGUCUGAGUGAGCAGUUACCAGGGGGAAGUAACCGCUAGUCAGACGAGGUGGGAAUAAAUAGCAGCCAGUUUCCUGCAGGUGUGUCCUUUUCCCAGACAUAGCUGGAGUGGGUUUCAUUUCAGCCACAAUAGGCUUGGCUGUUCACACCAUGAUGGAAAUUGACCUUAUGUGAAUGGACCUUACCAACGCCCUUAUCUUAUAGAUCUCUUGUGAUGACAAAAGAGAUUCAGCAAGAUGUUCUUUGUCUUCCUUUUUUUUUUUUUAAAUAAAGACUUAGCACAUCUGGUUCUUAGCUUGUAAAUAUAUCUGCAUAGGCAGUGCUUUAAAAAGGAUUUCAUAAGCUGUCAAAACUUUUUAUGUAAUUUUUAUUGUGACCUUCACCUGUGUUAAGCACAUAAGCUGAAAAUAGCUAUGCACAAAUCUGUAGUCUGAACCUUGUUCAAGUUGUGGAUUUAUGUUUUUUACUAGUUGGGAUACCCAGUUUCAUGUGGGAUGAUUUCUGCCGCUAACUAUUCCAAGCUGUGAUGUUACAAUCAGCAUUUACUCUGUAGCGUCAUUUGAGUCCAAGCUUAUUCAUGUGCAGCAUCAGUGUAGAAAAAUAGCCAAACACUUCAUCUCUUGAUGUCCCUUCCAAAAAUUGGCUGCUCAUCUUUGGCAACAGGUGCACAACAUUUUGCAUGAAACCACCAGGCAGCUUGCUUUUUGCUCCCCCUCUGUCUCUCUGUGACUGUCAUUUACUAUCCUCCUUCUCUCUUUGCUUUCUGUCAUUGGUUUGGUUAUAAUAUUUAACAGUUUCUUCUGCUUAGCCUUAUUUCACCCGGAGUCAUUGGUAGCAUAUUUGAGAAAAUAGAUAUCAAAAAUAAACAUUCUGCAAGGUAACCAAUCAUAGUCAGCAACUGAACUAUAACUGAAAUGAAUAUUCCUGCCAGAUUAUGAAUUUGGUUUGACAAAUGGUGCCAUACUCAUAAACAUCACCGCACUGUUUUAUCUAUAAGAUUUUGUAACUUUAUUCUGACAUGCAAUACAUGACUUUCAUGACAAACAGAUAUCUCAGAAGGUGCAUGUGUUUUUCAAAGUGUCAUUUAAAAAAAGAAAUGGGACUUAAAUAAGACUGUUGUAAACUUCUAUUCAGGAUUCAGUAAUUUUGUCAUUUCACCCAUAGUGUAUAUUUCAGUCUCCUGUUCAUCAGAUAAAUAAUUUUGAUCCUUUAUUGCCAAAGCUACGAAAAGAUUGAUUUUUACAAGGAUACAUAGAAAACACAUUAGUCAUCAGUACACCUAAUUUCUUGUUAGUUUACUUUGCACCAGUUUUACAAAUGGAUUUAUUUAGGCUUUCCUUUCUUACAAGGAGUUUACUUUGUUUUGGUCACCUGCAUUGUUCAUUUAUCAGUCAUUUUCUUGACUGUUUGAUUGUCUGCUCAUUGUGUCUUUUAUUAAAAAUGGCCAGUAUUGUUUUUGUCAGGAGAACCUCAAAUCCUGAAUGAAUUAAUGGAUAAAAAAGAAGGAAGAACUGUCUGAUUUUCAUGUCACCAGCUCUAUGGUCAUGAACUGACAUGCAUGUUAAGGGCAGCAUAGAUCUUGAAUAACCAGCCAAACAUGUCUUCCCAAAUCCUUUAAUUAAAUGCUAUCAGUUCUUCAUUUUCUUGUCAUUUUUGCAGAAGACAUUUUUAGUGUUUAUGUAAAAGUAAAGAAGGUAGCAAAAUUAUCAGAGUUGGAAACAGAAAAAUUGAGAUGUUGAACUCAGAAGCUGCCGUAAAAGUUACUUCCUGUCAGGAUCAAAGCAGUUGUUGUAAAGGUUGAUUAUCUUCUUUGUUUACAAUUCCAUCAUACAAAAGAUUGUACAAUGUAUUUGUAGGCAGGAGAAAAGAAAGUAAUGCUUGGAGCAUUUUAGACAUCAGUGAUGAGAGUAAUGGAAGUCUUGACAACUUUAAUUUUCAUCCAUUCUCUUUAAGGAAUAUUUUUAACUAACAUUUUUUUGAACUCCCAUCUACUUGUUAUCUCACCAACCCCAACUUCUUUGCCGCACAUUGUGGCUGUACAGAUUUCCCCAAGUACUCCCACUCCUACCACCCUCCUGGCUAUGGAUCUUGUACCCUCACCUCUCACUUAAGAUUUGUGUUGGAUGAAUGGUGGUAAGAUAAUGAGCUGGGAAUGUACUCUUCUUGGUAGAAUUUUAUCUGAUCAUAUGCUUUUUGAGAUACUUUUGGAAAGAAAAGAUGUUUACAUUAUUUUGAGCAAUCCAAAUAUUGUUUAGGAAAUUGUGUAGAACUAAUUGACACAAAAUGUGUAAAAAUGAAUCAUACCUCCUGUUUUAGUGCUGUACACCAAACAGUGUACGUCUAAAUGAACAAAUAUGUGUCAGCUCAAAACAUACCUAUUGACAGUUCUUGGGAAUAGGGUCCAUUUUUGUAAGCCAUAUGCUGCUCUUAAAGAGAACUGGUGUAUUAUUGCUGAUCCCUUUUGCUGCACAGCCUGACUGAGGAACAUGAUUGUGUUCAUAAAUAAUAACUAAUAUUGUUGUGGAAUUUACAUUACUUAUAGAAAACUGCUAAACAAUAUUUCACAUUAUAGUUUUACCCCUGCAUCUUUAAAAAAUCUGCAGAAUGACUUUGCAUUUCUUUUUGUAAAUAAUUUAUGGUGUCUGUGUUUUUAUAAUAUGUAAUAUGAUACAUAAAACUGGUUUUUACAGAAAUAUUUUACUGAUGUUUAAUUAUUGCUGAGUUUCUUUUUAAAUGUCCUUUUUUUUAAAGGAAAACAAACUGAGGGGCCAGAUAUGUGCAGAACUCUAUUAAUUAAUUUACCACCCCGUCAAGUUAUAUUGUAAUACUGUUUAAUUCUACAGAGUCUAAGAGACUCAAGUUCUGAGAUGAUGUAGAGAUUUGUAAUUAUGUCUGUGUCAAACAGUCCUUGUGCAAGUACAAGAUGUCAAACAUUGAUGGAUCCUGUUAAUUUUUGUACGAUGCUGGGUUGUUUUUCUUAUCCAUACAAAUUAUAACAAAUAUUAAGAUACUUGUAUUUGAAUGAGCAUCCUACAUUAUGGUUGACUCUUGUAUACAUUGAUGUUAUUGCUGUUAUGGGUGAUUUUUUCCAGGUCUUCCUGACAUAAUGUGUUGUUCAUAUGCUUCAUUUCUCUGCAUAUGCAAACUCUUUCAUUUUUAGCUGUGCAUGAAUAUAUUUUAAGAUACUUGUGCUUGUGCAUGCAAAAUGAAAAUUCUGUGUGUGCUUGUGCAGGCAGUGCAGAGACUCAUGUCUACACAAUGAAUUAAUAAAAACACAUCUGCAUGCAUUUGUUCUUUACACAUUUGCACACAUACAAGUGCAUGUGUACACACAUAUCAACACUAGGAUGCGUGCAUGUUUGCACACACACACACUACCUUUUGCAUUCUAGAUUGGAUACAAAGAUGUGUAUGAUGAGAGAGAGAGGUUGUAGUUAAGAAUUAAUGUUUCUAUCAGCCAAUUUUUUAAUGCUUUUUUUUUCAUUCGCUUCAGCAUGCUUCCCUUUUGAGGAGGGCAACUGUUUUAUUGCUGAUCCUAAUGGUGUAAAUGGUUUUCUGCUUCCAUUACAAGGCAUGUGGUUUUAGGUUGCCAGUUUUUGCUUGGGCUGUAUUUUUUUUUGGCAGUUGCAGGCAGUCUGUGUAAGGCUUUUUUUUAAAAAGUUUGAUAAAAUUGUACAUGAAGCAGAUGUCCAGUGUCUCAAGGUGAUUAUGUCUGUGAAGACAGCUUCCAGUUCAUACAGUAUUGUUUGUGUUUUUAAUCAUUGUUCAUUGUGAUUGAUGCAUCCAAGCUCCAAUUUGUUAAAUUUAAUGUUUUUGUCUUGCAGACACCACAAAAGCAUAGUACAAAAAAAUUCAUGCAUGUGCACAUGGGCAUUGUAUGAAAAAUUUUGCAGGUGUGGAUGAAUGCAAGCACAUGUCUGCACAUCAGACAACUCCAGGAAAAAAGAAUGAAACAAAAUUGUGAAGAACAAAAAAAUGCCAUGAGCUGUAUUGAGUUGAAAAAAUAAAUGAAGACACUGCCAUAAAUUGUUUACACAUUGGAUUAGACCAUAGGAAUGCAGGCAAAGACUUUAAAAAAAUUCAUUGUUAUAAGGCUUCAGAAUCUGGGAAUUCCAACUGUUAGGAAAUCUAUACUCACCUGAUGGCUGUUGUCUAUAUUAAGCUUCAGCCACAUCCUUGCUAAACCCAUAUCUGACAGAUCACAGGGACAUAGUUAUUUACAGUGAUGCAAAUAACCAUGUGUAAGUUUAUGUGGGAUGGGUGGGGUGCAAACUGCACUUUAUUAAGGAUUUUGGAGACCCUGUAUGUUGUUUCAAAAUGUUGGAACAGGUUAGAGGAGGGCUUUGGUGGGGUAAUGAGACAGCAGUGUCAGCAGCUAAAACUGAAAGAUUGUUAUAUAUCAGCAACAGCCAACAGGGUACAGCUACUGCUGCUGUGGUGGUGGUGGUGGUGGUUUUGGUGAUGGGACCUACUGGAAUAAAGGGGGGAGUGGUUCAGCAUUUAGCCUGUUACAAAAGGGUACCCAAGUAAAUCACGUAUUUCAUGUCAUUUACAAUAUUUUUAGAUGCUGCCAACAUGAUAUACUUUUAUAUGCUGGUUCAGAUUUUAUGUUACACAUUUUUUCAUGAUUAGCUGUAUGAUAUCGAAAUUUCCCCUGAUCUGCAUAUUUUAUCAAUGUUGUGACAGUGAAGCCAUGUUUCUAUUUUUUACUUGUGUGGGAGAUGCAUAAAGCCCACUGUUUGCUAUAUUUCUCUAUUCGUAUCACAAUUUUCUGGUUUAUUUGUAUGUUACAACCUGUGACUUUUUUUUUGGUAUUUAGUAUUAAAUUUCAGUAUCAGUU
RNAcentral lists this unclassified non-coding RNA (7231 nucleotides) under Pomacea canaliculata. RNAcentral describes it as "zinc finger protein 260-like, transcript variant X3". Lineage: Eukaryota; Metazoa; Mollusca; Gastropoda; Architaenioglossa; Ampullariidae. The record is from RNAcentral.